GCCCGCUCAGAAACUCAAGGAAUUGACGGGGCCCGCACAAGCGGUGGAGCAUGUGGUUUAAUUCGAUGAUACGCGAGGAACCUUACCUGGGCUCAAAUGUAUGUUGACGUAUUCUGAAAGGGAUACUUCUUCGGACAAUAUACAAGGUGCUGCAUGGUUGUCGUCAGCUCGUGCCGUGAGGUGUCGGGUUAAGUCCCAUAACGAGCGCAACCCCUAUCAUUAGUUGCCAUCAGGUCAAGCUGGGGACUCUAAUGAAACUGCCUACGCAAGUAGUGAGGAAGGUGGGGAUGACGUCAAAUCAGCACGGCCCUUACGUCCAGGGCUACACACGUGCUACAAUGGCCGGUACAAAGGGCAGCUACCUGGUGACAGGAUGCUAAUCCCAUAAAACCGAUCGUAGUCCGGAUCGCAGUCUGCAACUCGACUGCGUGAAGUCGGAAUCGCUAGUAAUCGUGAAUCAGAAUGUCACGGUGAAUACGUUCCCGGGCCUU
This 491-nucleotide ribosomal RNA is filed under the name uncultured Sphingobacteriales bacterium. Its description in RNAcentral is "bacterial SSU rRNA". It matches the Rfam family "Bacterial small subunit ribosomal RNA", at positions 904 to 1382 of the family's 1533-position model. Lineage: Bacteria; Pseudomonadati; Bacteroidota; Sphingobacteriia; Sphingobacteriales. The record is from RNAcentral.